GAAACUUAAAGGAAUUGACGGGGCCCGCACAAGCGGUGGAGCAUGUGGUUAAUUCGAAGCAACGCGAAGAACUUACCAGGUCUUGACAUCCCGAUGCUAUUUCUAGAGAUAGAAAGUUACUCCGGUACAUCGGUGACAGGUGGUGCAUGGUUGUCGUCAGCUCGUGUCGUGAGAUGUUGGGUUAAGUCCCGCAACGAGCGCAACCCUAUUGUUAGUUGCCAUCAUUCAGUUGGGCACUCUAGCGAGACUGCCGGUAAUAAACCGGAGGAAGGUGGGGAUGACGUCAAAUCAUCAUGCCCCUUAUGACCUGGGCUACACACGUGCUACAACGGUUGGUACAACGAGUUGCGAGUCGGUGACGGCGAGCUAAUCUCUUAAAGCCAAUCUCAGUUCGGAUUGUAGGCUGCAACUCGCCUACAUGAAGUCGGAAUCGCUAGUAAUCGCGGAUCAGCACGCCGCGGUGAAUACGUUCCCGGGCCUU
RNAcentral lists this ribosomal RNA (481 nucleotides) under uncultured Streptococcus sp. RNAcentral describes it as "bacterial SSU rRNA". It matches the Rfam family "Bacterial small subunit ribosomal RNA", at positions 896 to 1382 of the family's 1533-position model. The record is from RNAcentral. Lineage: Bacteria; Bacillati; Bacillota; Bacilli; Lactobacillales; Streptococcaceae.